UACGUUUGGUGGAUCGCAUAGCAGUGGGAAUGCAACACCCCCUUCUCCUAUUGCUAGCCCUGGGACUCCAGCUAAAGGGUAUUCUUGUUUUACCUGUUCUCGAUGUGUGCACAUCUUGUUUGUUUUGUUUCCAUGUCAUUGCCUAAUUUAUUGUUUCCCACAUCAGUUCGUCUGCCCCUAAGCGUGGCACGAAGCGUUCUUUGUUUUCAAGCCCUCCGAAACGGAACACACAGUUGGCUGAUGCUUGUGCCGCCGCAGCUGAAGAAGAGCCAGCGACGUUGGUUGAGCCUGUGGAAGAUGAUGGUAUAACCACUGAUGUAGAGAAAAACGGACCGCCUCCAAACCCAAAAUCUAAGAGGAACGCCAAUUCUGCGAAGUC
Molecule: long non-coding RNA, 379 nt
Organism: Lolium rigidum
Lineage: Eukaryota; Viridiplantae; Streptophyta; Magnoliopsida; Poales; Poaceae
Exons: 3
Source: RefSeq, a predicted model, not a curated record